UACGUAGGGGGCAAGCGUUGUCCGGAUUCAUUGGGCGUAAAGAGCGUGUAGGCGGCCAGGUAGGUCGGUUGUGAAAACUGGAGGCUCAACCUUCAGACGUCGACCGAAACCAUCUGGCUAGAGUCCGGGAGAGGAGAGUGGAAUUCCUGGUGUAGCGGUGAAAUGCGCAGAUAUCAGGAAGAACACCCGUGGCGAAAGCGGCUCACUGGACCAUUACUGACGCUGAGGCACGAAAGCUAGGGGAGCAAACAGG
RNAcentral lists this ribosomal RNA (253 nucleotides) under uncultured bacterium. RNAcentral describes it as "partial 16S ribosomal RNA". It matches the Rfam family "Bacterial small subunit ribosomal RNA", at positions 524 to 776 of the family's 1533-position model. The record is from RNAcentral.